Chenopodium quinoa (quinoa) is the source of this 770-nucleotide long non-coding RNA. RefSeq lists it as uncharacterized. The record is from RefSeq and is a predicted model, not a curated record. The transcript is spliced from 4 exons. Lineage: Eukaryota; Viridiplantae; Streptophyta; Magnoliopsida; Caryophyllales; Amaranthaceae.
CAAAAAAAACUUACAUAAAUGACUUGAUGGCUAAGGUUCUGCUAAUCCGUGAACCAUCUGUUGAGAGGAUAAUAACUACUAUUGGUGAACUUGAGCUGAAAAAGAGCGCCUAUGGCUUGAAGCAAAAAUCGCUGAACCUGAUGUGAAGAAAAUUAUUACCUACAUAGGUUGCGACAACUGUGGCCGCCGCUGUGAAGAACUGGUUGGUGAGACCUUCAAAUGUUCCAGCUGGCCAAACAAAUUCUACACAGCUACUGCUAGGGUAAACUACACCUUCCCCAUAACUGAUGGAACAGGGGAAUUGAAGCUCACAGCUUUUGGAGCAGAGUGUGAGAAGCUCUUUAGCAUGGAACUUGCUGACAUACACAGCAAAGUAACUACUGAAUAUUGGGAUGCCUUUGAUGAAGCAGUAGCUAGACUAUCAACUAAGGAGGCUUACUUUUGUGUUGAACCAACAAAUAUUUUGAGCAGGGUGGGGGCUCUGAGGUGGGCUCUCAAAUCUGUCUCAAUGGAGUAACUAGAUGGAAGUUUGCUUAGAAAAUGGUGUGAUUGUUAUCUCAUAUUCCUCUACUGAUCCUUUUGAUUUGCACUGCUUGUAACUAUUCUACUGCUUAGCUAAUAAGUGGUUCUUCUAAAACUAUCUUAGCCUAGAAUGGAUGGUAGAUUCAUCACAUCUGUGAACUUAUGCAACUAUGGUGUAUUCUUGCAAGUCGUUUAGUUGUUAUAUUUAGGACAAAUUUACAAAUCUCGGUCAUCCAUUACCACAUUAA